GAGGUCGUAAGGGUGGGACCCUAAUCCAAUUGGACUGGCAUCCUCUGGUGUCCAUACAAGAAGAGGCAGAGAUGCCAGGGGCACAAGUGCACAGAAAAGAGACCAUGAGAAGACACAGCGAGAAGGUGACCAUCUGCAAGCCAAGGAAAGAAGCCAAACCUGCCAACACCUUGACCUUGGACUUCUAGCCUCCAGAACUGUGAAAGAUAAACUUCUGUUGUUUAAGUCACCCAGUCUGUGGUAUCUUGUUAUGGCAGACUGCUAUGGCUUAAUUUUUUGUCCUGCAGAAACUCAUGCUGGAAUUUAACUGCUAAUAUAAAGGUAUUGAAGGUGGCGGAGCCUUCGAGAGGCAUGUCCUUCUGCACUCUUGAAUGAAUUGAUGCCGUUCUCCUGAGACCAGCCACGAGUUGAAGGAGCAUGAGGCCCUCACCUGACCUGUGACUUCUCAGCUUUCAGAACUGUGAGCCUAAAUAAACCUCUUUUCUUUCCAA
Long non-coding RNA from Carlito syrichta (Philippine tarsier), 491 nucleotides. RefSeq lists it as uncharacterized. NCBI's taxonomy places the organism in Eukaryota, Metazoa, Chordata, Mammalia, Primates, Tarsiidae. The record is from RefSeq and is a predicted model, not a curated record. The transcript is spliced from 2 exons.